CUGGAGAUGAUGCAUUAAAAAAAACAUCUGACCUGUUGCUGAUGGUGUUUGUAUUCAUACUGUCUGAUCCAG
Oreochromis aureus is the source of this 72-nucleotide small nucleolar RNA. Lineage: Eukaryota; Metazoa; Chordata; Actinopteri; Cichliformes; Cichlidae. The record is from Ensembl.